Non-coding RNA from Punica granatum (pomegranate), 538 nucleotides. Lineage: Eukaryota; Viridiplantae; Streptophyta; Magnoliopsida; Myrtales; Lythraceae. The record is from RefSeq and is a predicted model, not a curated record.
GUUGGUGGCGGCACAGCCGAAGUUGAGGUCUUGCCAUUUGAUUACUCAGUCGAGAAUCACAUCAAGGAGAUGGACAUGAUCGCCAGGCUCUGUUGGGAGGAGGGUGGUAUAGUUGAAGACAGCGAGAUUGCGAGGUUGUCAUCUUCCUUAACGUUCAUAAGGGAAUGGAGAUUCUUUAAUUACGAACCUCGGGUCGUCGAGUUUUCAUCCCAAACGUGUAGUGCAGCGGACGAAGGUGCUCUAGGACCCAUACGUUAUCGCAGUUCUCAUCUUCAACUCUUCCCGAGAUGCACAAUAUAAAGGAUCAGGGAAGUGCGACAGCGGAACAAUGGAAAGAUUUUGCUAUGUACGUUGGGGGUCCUGUCCGGGCGUUGGAUUGGUUUCCCAGAUAUGGAAAACAUGACUUCCAUAUUAAACAGGGCGUUGAUUAUUAUCAUUAUUAUUAUUUAAAUUCGGUUAUCACCUGUUAUUUAAUGAUAGCAUCUAAAUUCUAUAUCAUUUACUUCUGGCAAAUAUCAUAGCGAGCCCUUUCAUUGAA